RNAcentral lists this ribosomal RNA (2088 nucleotides) under human gut metagenome. RNAcentral's name for it is "bacterial LSU rRNA". It matches the Rfam family "Bacterial large subunit ribosomal RNA", at positions 806 to 2925 of the family's 2925-position model. The record is from RNAcentral.
GAGGUGUGGAUAGGGGAGAAAUUCCAAUCGAACCCGGAGAUAGCUGGUUCUCCUCGAAAUAGCUUUAGGGCUAGCCUCGAUACAGAUUUGCGGAGGUAGAGCACUGAAUUUCCUAGGGGGCGUCAAAGCCUACCGAAGAAUAUCAAACUCCGAAUGCCGCGUAAUCGAUUAUCGGGAGUCAGACUGCACGAGAUAAGUUGGGCGGUCAAAAGGGAAAGAGCCCAGACCUUCAGUUAAGGUCCCCAAGUGCGCGUUAAGUGGAAAAGGAUGUGGGAUUUCGAAGACAACCAGGAUGUUGGCUCAGAAGCAGCCAUCCAUUCAAAGAGUGCGUAAUAGCUCACUGGUCGAGAGGUCCUGCGCCGAAAAUGUCCGGGGCUGAAACGCGCCACCGAAACUAAGGAACCGAAAGGUUGGUAGAGGAGCAUUGCAUGCGGGAAGAAGCAGUACCGGAAGGAGCUGUGGACUGCAUGGAAGAGAGAAUGCCGGAAUGAGUAGCGAGAAUAAGGUGAGAAUCCUUAUGGCCGAAUAUCCAAGGUUUCCAGAGUAAAGCUGAUCUGCUCUGGGUAAGUCGGGGCCUAAGGCGAGGACGAGAGUCGUAGCCGAUGGACAACAGGUGGAGAUUCCUGUACUGCGGUAUGACAGAACUGUGGGGACACGUAAGGAAAGCGGAAGCCGGGAAUGGAAAGCCCGGUGCAAGCGGGGUACCAGUCACUUUGGCAAAUCCGGGUGGCAAUGGGAAGCCGUGAUGCGGAGUGAAAUAAAGUAACGAAGUCCGUGAGCCAUGCGUCAAGAAAAGCCGCUAUCGUUUAUACCGUACCCGUACCGUAAACCGACACAGGUGGAUGAGGAGAGAAUCCUAAGGCCGGCGGAAGAAGCAUUGUCAAGGAACUCGGCAAAAUGGCCCCGUAACUUAGGGAUAAGGGGUGCCUGGGAAACCAGGCCGCAGAGAAUAGGCUCAAGCAACUGUUUAGCAAAAACACAGGUCUAUGCGAAACCGAAAGGUGAGGUAUAUGGGCUGACGCCUGCCCGGUGCUGGAAGGUUAAGAGGAGAGGUUAGCGCAAGCGAAGCUUUGAAUUUAAGCCCCAGUAAACGGCGGCCGUAACUAUAACGGUCCUAAGGUAGCGAAAUUCCUUGUCGGGUAAGUUCCGACCCGCACGAAAGGCGUAAUGAUUUGAGCGCUGUCUCGACAAUGCAUCCGGUGAAAUUGAAGUACCAGUGAAGAUGCUGGUUACCUGCGCCAGGACGGAAAGACCCCAUGGAGCUUUACUCCAGUCUGGUACUGGGACUCGGUAUUGCAUGUACAGGAUAGGUGGGAGGCUAGGAGAUGGUAACGCCAGUUGCCAUGGAGCCGCUGUUGGGAUACCACCCUUGCAGUAUUGGGUUUCUAACCAGCCGCCGUGACCCGGCGGUGGGACAAUGCCAGACGGGGAGUUUGACUGGGGCGGUCGCCUCCGAAAGGGUAUCGGAGGCGCCCAAAGGUUCCCUCAGAAUGGACGGAAACCAUUCGAAGAGUGCAAAGGCAGAAGGGAGCUUGACUGCGACACCGACGGGUGGAGCAGGUACGAAAGUAGGACUUAGUGAUCCGGUGGUAUGAAAGUGGGAUUGCCAUCGCUCAACGGAUAAAAGCUACCCUGGGGAUAACAGGCUUAUCACUCCCAAGAGUUCACAUCGACGGAGUGGUUUGGCACCUCGAUGUCGGCUCAUCGCAUCCUGGGGCUGUAGUAGGUCCCAAGGGUUGGGCUGUUCGCCCAUUAAAGCGGUACGCGAGCUGGGUUCAGAACGUCGUGAGACAGUUCGGUCCCUAUCCGGCGUGGGCGUAGGAUAUCUGAGAGGAGCUGUCCUUAGUACGAGAGGACCGGGAUGGACGGGCCGCUGGUGCAUCGGUUAGACUGCCAAGUCUACGGCCGAGUAGCCAAGCCCGGAAGGGAUAAACGCUGAAGGCAUCUAAGCGUGAAGCCCCCCUUAAGAUGAGAUAUCCCAUUCGAAAGAAGUAAACCCCCUUGAAGACGACGAGGUAGAUAGGGCAGAGGUGGAAGUGCAGCAAUGCAUGGAGCUGACUGUUACUAAUCGGGUGAGGGCUUGACCAA